UGGGGAAUAUUGGACAAUGGGGGCAACCCUGAUCCAGCAAUGCCGCGUGUGUGAAGAAGGCCUGCGGGUUGUAAAGCACUUUAGGUAGUGAGGAAGGCCAUUAUGCAAAUAGCAUAGUGGAUUGACGUUAGCUACAGAAUAAGCACCGGCUAACUCUGUGCCAGCAGCCGCGGUAAUACAGAGGGUGCAAGCGUUAAUCGGAAUGACUGGGCGUAAAGGGCGCGUAGGUGGCAGCUUAAGUUAGAUGUGAAAUCCCCGGGCUUAACCUGGGAACUGCAUUUAAUACUGGGCAGCUAGAGUAUGGGAGAGGGCAGUGGAAUUUCCGGUGUAGCGGUGAAAUGCGUAGAUAUCGGAAGGAACACCAGUGGCGAAGGCGACUGCCUGGCCUAAUACUGACACU
This 400-nucleotide ribosomal RNA is filed under the name uncultured bacterium. RNAcentral describes it as "bacterial SSU rRNA". It matches the Rfam family "Bacterial small subunit ribosomal RNA", at positions 355 to 747 of the family's 1533-position model. The record is from RNAcentral.